This is a long non-coding RNA of Leopardus geoffroyi (Geoffroy's cat), 1296 nucleotides long. RefSeq lists it as uncharacterized. The record is from RefSeq and is a predicted model, not a curated record. NCBI's taxonomy places the organism in Eukaryota, Metazoa, Chordata, Mammalia, Carnivora, Felidae. The transcript is spliced from 5 exons.
AAGGGACUCUCGUCUGGACUAUCGUCUGACAACCUCUCUCCCACCUCUCUCCCUGUCACCGGCUGAAAAAAAGCACCCCCAGUGGAAAGAGAUGUUUUCUCCAGUGGAAAGAGAUCCUUCUGAACACAUCUCCUCCGGGUACCUGGGCCUCUCAGUUUGUUCUUUCAGACUCACGCCUGACUGGUGUUUCCCAGGCCCCAGAAGUGGCACAGUCACUGUCAUGCAUCACGACAAUCCCAUCCUGAUGCAUCAGGGCUCCAUCCACGGCAGGCUUUUCAGGAAGAACGCGGCCUUAGGAAGAGGCAGAGCCCGGAAGCUGGCCGUGUGCACCUGCCUUCGGGCAACGAGCUCUAGGAUUCUGAUGUCAGCUUGCAUCUAAAACAUUUCUGAGUGAACAUCCUACAUGAAAGAUUUGUAAGGAGAACCAAUCUGCCAUGGACCCUGUGCGAGCCUGCAUCUUCUUGCGAGGUGGGCCAAGAAUGCAAGGCUUGGCUGGACUUUAUCUACGCCAGAUAUGUUUGCAGCAGCCAUUCUGAGAGAUGAGGAAUGUAGCCCACCGCAUGCACCAGGAUGCAUUCUGGACCCUUAGCCUGGCCCCAUGGGAAUGAUGGGACUCGUGGUGAGCCUGCACAAACCAGCAUCAAGCUCUGCAACUCUUCGCUGGAAACAUCAUUCUGGUGAAAACCACAAGGCCAUUCGAGCAGCAACUCCUAAAUACCACGUCAGUGAAAUCCUCCUUGCCAGAACUGAUUCCAUUUAACUUCUGUACCUUUGAGGAACGAAGGCACAGGUUGUUUAGACAGAGCAUAAAUAAUUUUCUCAUAUGAGUGUAUCCUGUGGAUUCGUAUUACGAGAUAUCGAUGGAAAGAUGAGGGGUGCGUAAAGUCACAAUUCACCUCCUAACCUUCAACCUUGGCUUCUGGGCACACACCUUUGCUGCAUUCAUUUGUCACCCCCACACCGAAUCCAGAAGCCCAGGACUUUCCUUCGAGAUGGGAAAGGCAUCAGGAAGGCUGUCUGCAGGCUCACAGGGCAGGGCCGCAGAACUCAGCUGUCCUUGGACUAAGGGGAGAUUUUGGUCUAUUUGCACCAGGAGUGACUCGAGCUGUCGUCUCAGCUGCUGAUUUUACCUGCUUGGACAUCACUUUGAUUUUGGACUUCAUUUCUUGUCAGUUCACUCACAAAAUAUGAUUUCUUCACAAUAUUUUUGCCAUCAGAUUAUAGCAUAAAGCUGUAUGUAAAAAAAAAAUUUUUUUUGACAUUUAUUCAUUUUUGAGAGUGAGAGAGACAGAGCUU